Molecule: non-coding RNA, 24 nt
Filed under: Mus musculus (house mouse)
Lineage: Eukaryota; Metazoa; Chordata; Mammalia; Rodentia; Muridae
Source: RNAcentral
UCACAAGCUGUAGGAAGUUGUGGG